Molecule: ribosomal RNA, 284 nt
Filed under: Bilophila wadsworthia
Lineage: Bacteria; Pseudomonadati; Thermodesulfobacteriota; Desulfovibrionia; Desulfovibrionales; Desulfovibrionaceae
Description: partial 16S ribosomal RNA
Rfam family: Bacterial small subunit ribosomal RNA
Source: RNAcentral
UCUGGUCCUUUUGUGCCCGCCGCCGCGGUAAUACGGAGGGUGCAAGCGUUACUCGGAAUCCCUGGGCGUAAAGCGCACGUAGGCGGCUUGGUAAGUCAGGGGUGAAAUCCCACAGCCCAACUGUGGAACUGCCUUUGAUACUGCCAGGCUUGAGUACCGGAGAGGGUGGCGGAAUUCCAGGUGUAGGAGUGAAAUCCGUAGAUAUCUGGAGGAACACCGGUGGCGAAGGCGGCCACCUGGACGGUAACUGACGCUGAGGUGCGAAAGCGUGGGUAGCAAACAGG